Non-coding RNA from Pelobates cultripes (western spadefoot toad), 124 nucleotides. The record is from the annotation of a GenBank genome assembly. Lineage: Eukaryota; Metazoa; Chordata; Amphibia; Anura; Pelobatidae.
AUAACAAUACAGGACUCUUUCGAGGCCCUGUAAUUGGAAUGAGUCCGCUUUAAAUCCUUUAACGAGGAUCUAUUGGAGGGAAGUCUGGUGCAGAGCCACUGACCCAUGCGUGCUGCAGCUCAAA